RNAcentral lists this ribosomal RNA (1334 nucleotides) under human gut metagenome. Its description in RNAcentral is "bacterial LSU rRNA". It matches the Rfam family "Bacterial large subunit ribosomal RNA", at positions 1180 to 2418 of the family's 2925-position model. The record is from RNAcentral.
GCUCAAGCACACCACCGAAGACGCGGCAGUAUUUUGUACUGGGUAGGAGAGCGUCCCAUGAGGGGCGAAGCGGCCGUGUGAACGCGCCGUGGACUUCAUGGGAGUGAGAAUGCAGACAUGAGUAGCGAGAGACGGGUGAAGAUCCCGUCCGCUGGAUGACCAAGGGUUCCAGGGCCACGUUCAUCGUCCCUGGGUGAGUCGGGUCCUAAGGCGAGGCCGACAGGCGUAGUCGAAUGGAUGAACGGGUGGAUAUUCCCGUACCGGCGGCGUACCGUAAGAGCCGAACGGAUGAGUACUAACCUCCGGUCGCGUGGCGUCGUUCCCUUCGGGGUUCGGGGUCCGCGGUCGUUGGGAGCGUAGUCCUGGUAGGCUAGCGCACAGGGGUGACACGGAAUGGGAGCCGGCCGCGGAGGUGGUUUUCCGUGGUCAAGCACGCAGCCCGUCCCAUAGGCAAAUCCGUGGGGCAUCGAGGGUGAGGUGUGAUGAUGGGCGUCCUUUGGACGCGAUAUCCGGUGGUCCAGGCCGUCGAGAAAAGCCUCGGCGCGAGGGGCGUCGCCGCCCGUACCCCAAACCGACACUGGUGGUCAGGUAGAGAAUACCAAGGCGAUCGAGCGAAUCCUGGUCAAGGAACUCGGCAAAUCACUCCCGUGCCUUCGGUAUAAGGGAGACCCCCGGGCGUGAAGAGGCUUGCCCUCGGAGCGUUGGGGGGUGGCACAGACCAGGGGGUAGCGACUGUUUACCAAAAACACAGGUGCAUGCGAAGGCGCAAGCCGCUGUAUAUGCACUGACGCCUGCCCGGUGCCGGAAGGUUAAGAGGAUCCGUCAGCCCCUUUUGGGGUGAAGCGGUGAAUUCAAGCCCCGGUAAACGGCGGUGGUAACUAUCCUUGUCGGGUAAGUUCCGACCUGCACGAAUGGCGUAACGACUUCCCCACUGUCUCGACCAGGAGCUCGGCGAAAUUGCAGUACGAGUAAAGAUGCUCGUUAAGCGCAGAAGGACGAAAAGACCCCGGGACCUUUACUAUACCUUGGUAUUGGCAUUCGGUGUGGAUUGUGUAGCAUAGGCGGGAGGCCGAGAGGCGCGGUCGCCAGAUCGCGCGGAGCCGUAAGGUGAAAUACCGCUCUGUUCGCAUUGGAUGUCUAACCUCGAACAGUCAUCCUGUUCAGGGACAGUGCCUGGCGGGUAGUUUAACUGGGGCGGUUGCCUCCCAAAGAGUAACGGAGGCGCUCAAAGGUCCGCUCAGCCCGGUUGGCAAUCGGGUUUCGAGUGUAAUCGCACAAGCGGGCUUGACUGCGAGAACGACGGUUCGGGCAGGGACGAAAGUCGGAGAUAGUGA